Molecule: unclassified non-coding RNA, 343 nt
Filed under: Hevea brasiliensis (rubber tree)
Lineage: Eukaryota; Viridiplantae; Streptophyta; Magnoliopsida; Malpighiales; Euphorbiaceae
Source: RNAcentral
UGGAAGGAAUAAUAGUAGAACUGGGUCCACCAUCCUUACCUUAUGCAGGUAGCACAUAACACACAAUACGGGUUAAUGAGAUACAAUAGAUAGAUCCAAUCCAGGAAUAUGUGAGGACCUUUGUGACUCUCAUGCUAAGAUAACAAAGGUAUGGUAAAGUAGACGUGAAACGUUGGCAAAGAAUGUGUUAAUGAGAUGUAAGUGAAGGAACUAAAUAAGAGUUUGAUCAUGAUAGAAAAGUUAAGACAACUACCCUAGAAAAUGGGGCAAGGCUUUAAGUGGGGGAGUAAUCCAAAAACAACUCCAUUCUUAGAGAAAUAAAGAGAGACAAGCUAAUCAAUCG